AGAGUUUGAUCAUGGCUCAGAUUGAACGCUGGCGGCAUGCCUUACACAUGCAAGUCGAACGGCAGCACGGGGGUAACCCUGGUGGCGAGUGGCGAACGGGUGAGUAAUACAUCGGAACGUGUCCUGGAGUGGGGGAUAGCUCGGCGAAAGCCGGAUUAAUACCGCAUACGCUCUGUGGAGGAAAGCGGGGGAUCUUCGGACCUCGCGCUCAAGGGGCGGCCGAUGGCGGAUUAGCUAGUUGGUGGGGUAAAGGCCUACCAAGGCGACGAUCCGUAGCUGGUCUGAGAGGACGACCAGCCACACUGGGACUGAGACACGGCCCAGACUCCUACGGGAGGCAGCAGUGGGGAAUUUUGGACAAUGGGGGAAACCCUGAUCCAGCAAUGCCGCGUGUGUGAAGAAGGCCUUCGGGUUGUAAAGCACUUUUGUUCGGGAAGAAAUCCUUCGAGCUAAUACCUUGAGGGGAUGACGGUACCGGAAGAAUAAGCACCGGCUAACUACGUGCCAGCAGCCGCGGUAAUACGUAGGGUGCGAGCGUUAAUCGGAAUUACUGGGCGUAAAGCGUGCGCAGGCGGUUCGCUAAGACCGAUGUGAAAUCCCCCGGGCUUAACCUGGGAACUGCAUUGGUGACUGGCGGGCUAGAGUAUGGCAGAGGGGGGUAGAAUUCCACGUGUAGCAGUGAAAUGCGUAGAGAUGUGGAGGAAUACCGAUGGCGAAGGCAGCCCCCUGGGCCAAUACUGACGCUCAUGCACGAAAGCGUGGGGAGCAAACAGGAUUAGAUACCCUAGUAGUCC
RNAcentral lists this ribosomal RNA (794 nucleotides) under uncultured bacterium. RNAcentral's name for it is "bacterial SSU rRNA". It matches the Rfam family "Bacterial small subunit ribosomal RNA", at positions 8 to 796 of the family's 1533-position model. The record is from RNAcentral.